UUCCUACGGGAGGCAGCAGUGAGGAAUAUUGCGCAAUGGGGGCAACCCUGACGCAGCGACGCCGCGUGAGUGAGGAAGGCCUUCGGGUCGUAAAGCUCUGUCAAAGGGAAAGAAGUGCAUGGUGGCUAAUACCUGCCAUGUUUGACGGUACCCUUAAAGGAAGCACCGGCUAACUCCGUGCCAGCAGCCGCGGUAAUACGGAGGGUGCAAGCGUUGUUCGGAAUCACUGGGCGUAAAGGGCGCGUAGGCGGUUUGAUAAGUCAGAUGUGAAAGCCCACGGCUUAACCGUGGAAGUGCAUUUGAAACUGUCAGACUUGAGUAUCAGAGGGGAAAGUGGAAUUCCCGGUGUAGAGGUGAAAUUCGUAGAUAUCGGGAGGAAUACCGGUGGCGAAGGCGACUUUCUGGCUGAAUACUGACGCUGAGGCGCGAAAGCGUGUGGAGCAAACAGGAUUAGAUACCCGUGUAGUCG
Molecule: ribosomal RNA, 469 nt
Filed under: uncultured Desulfobulbus sp.
Lineage: Bacteria; Pseudomonadati; Thermodesulfobacteriota; Desulfobulbia; Desulfobulbales; Desulfobulbaceae
Description: bacterial SSU rRNA
Rfam family: Bacterial small subunit ribosomal RNA
Source: RNAcentral